This 497-nucleotide ribosomal RNA is filed under the name uncultured bacterium. Its description in RNAcentral is "bacterial SSU rRNA". It matches the Rfam family "Bacterial small subunit ribosomal RNA", at positions 1 to 495 of the family's 1533-position model. The record is from RNAcentral.
CCCUUAGAGUUUGAUCCUGGCUCAGAUUGAACGCUGGCGGCAGGCCUAACACAUGCAAGUCGAGCGGUAGCACAGAGAGCUUGCUCUCGGGUGACGAGCGGCGGACGGGUGAGUAAUGUCUGGGAAACUGCCUGAUGGAGGGGGAUAACUACUGGAAACGGUAGCUAAUACCGCAUAACGUCGCAAGACCAAAGUGGGGGACCUUCGGGCCUCAUGCCAUCAGAUGUGCCCAGAUGGGAUUAGCUAGUAGGUGGGGUAACGGCUCGCCUAGGCGACGAUCCCUAGCUGGUCUGAGAGGAUGACCAGCCACACUGGAACUGAGACACGGUCAGACUCCUUCGGGAGGCAGCAGUGGGGAAUAUUGCACAAUGGGCGCAAGCCUGAUGCAGCCAUGCCGCGUGUGUGAAGAAGGCCUUCGGGUUGUAAAGCACUUUCAGCGGGGAGAAAGGCGGUGAGGUUAAUAACUCAUCGANUAAAUACCCGCAGAAGAAGCCGGU